Molecule: unclassified non-coding RNA, 231 nt
Filed under: fungal sp.
Lineage: Eukaryota; Fungi
Description: partial internal transcribed spacer region
Rfam family: Eukaryotic small subunit ribosomal RNA (bases 1-51)
Source: RNAcentral
AGUACAAGUCGUAACAAGGUAUCCGUAGGUGAACCUGCGGAUGGAUCAUUAAAAGAUUAUUAUUGAAGGUAGUGUGAACUGGUUAUUGUUUGUUGACAAAUGGGGUUAUGGCCUUUUGUGGUUCAAAACAAAUCAUUUGUCAACUAGUAUACUUUUACUACUAAAUUCAAAUGUGUCAUUUGUACACAAACAAAAGUUAUACAACUUUUAGCAAUGGAUCUCUUGGCUCUC